AGAAUGAACGCUGGCGGCGUGGUUAAGACAUGCAAGUCGAACGGGACUCAUUGAAGCGCAAGUGGAUAUGAGUUCAGUGGCGAACGGGUGCGUAACACGUGAACAAUCUACCUCCGAGUGGGGAAUAGCUCGCCGAAAGGCGAAUUAAUACCCCAUGCGGUUGAGGUCCUCCUGGAUCUCAUACCAAAGUCAGGGACCGCAAGGCCUGACGCUGGGAGAGGAGUUCGCGGCCUAUCAGCUAGUUGGCGAGGUAACGGCUCACCAAGGCUAAGACGGGUAGC
RNAcentral lists this ribosomal RNA (281 nucleotides) under uncultured bacterium. Its description in RNAcentral is "partial small subunit ribosomal RNA". It matches the Rfam family "Bacterial small subunit ribosomal RNA", at positions 26 to 287 of the family's 1533-position model. The record is from RNAcentral.